CAGUCGCCACGGGAAUACAGAGGGUGCGAGCGUUAAUCGGAUUUACUGGGCGUAAAGCGUGCGUAGGCGGCUUUUUAAGUCGGAUGUGAAAUCCCUGAGCUUAACUUAGGAAUUGCAUUCGAUACUGGGAAGCUAGAGUAUGGGAGAGGAUGGUAGAAUUCCAGGUGUAGCGGUGAAAUGCGUAGAGAUCUGGAGGAAUACCGAUGGCGAAGGCAGCCAUCUGGCCUAAUACUGACGCUGAGGUACGAAAGCAUGGGGAGCAAACAGGAUUAGAUACCCCGUAGUCCCUGUCUCUUAUACA
Molecule: ribosomal RNA, 301 nt
Filed under: uncultured bacterium
Lineage: Bacteria
Description: partial 16S ribosomal RNA
Rfam family: Bacterial small subunit ribosomal RNA
Source: RNAcentral